Molecule: ribosomal RNA, 449 nt
Filed under: uncultured bacterium
Lineage: Bacteria
Description: bacterial SSU rRNA
Rfam family: Bacterial small subunit ribosomal RNA
Source: RNAcentral
CGCCAGACUCCUACGGGAGGCAGCAGUGGGGAAUAUUGCACAAUGGGGGAAACCCUGAUGCAGCGACGCCGCGUGAGUGAAGAAGUAUUUCGGUAUGUAAAGCUCUAUCAGCAGGGAAGAAGAAGGACGGUACCUGAGUAAGAAGCCCCGGCUAACUACGUGCCAGCAGCCGCGGUAAUACGUAGGGGGCAAGCGUUAUCCGGAUUUACUGGGUGUAAAGGGAGCGUAGACGGCGAAGAAAGUCUGAAGUGAAAGCCCGCGGCUCAACCGCGGAAUGGCUUUGGAAACUUUUUUGCUGGAGUACCGGAGAGGUAAGCGGAAUUCCUAGUGUAGCGGUGAAAUGCGUAGAUAUUAGGAGGAACACCAGUGGCGAAGGCGGCCUGCUGGACUGCAACUGACGUUGAGGCUCGAAGGCGUGGGGAGCAAACAGGAUUAGAUACCCCAGUAAC